GAUGAACGCUAGCUGGAGGCUUAAUACAUGCAAGUCGAGCGGGAUUCAGUUGUCUUCGGAUGAUUGAUGAGAGCGGCGGACGGGUGAGUAACGCGUACACGACCUACCUUUGACAGGGGGAUAGCCCUGGGAAACUGGGAUUAAUACCGCAUAUUAUUCUGAUUAAUAAAGGAUUGGAAUGAAAGUUCAGGCGGUCAAAGAUGGGUGUGCGUCUGAUUAGCUAGUUGGUAGGGUAACGGCCUACCAAGGCGAUGAUCAGUAGGGGGCGUGAGAGCGUGAUCCCCCACACGGGUACUGAGACACGGACCCGACUCCUACGGGAGGCAGCAGUAAGGAAUAUUGGACAAUGGCCGCAAGGCUGAUCCAGCCAUCCAGCGUGCAGGAAGACGGCCCUACGGGUUGUAAACUGCUUUUGUCAGGGAAGAAACCUCUGGAUUUACUCCGGAGCUGACGGUACCUGAAGAAUAAGCACCGGCUAACUCCGUGCCAGCAGCCGACGG
RNAcentral lists this ribosomal RNA (500 nucleotides) under uncultured bacterium. Its description in RNAcentral is "bacterial SSU rRNA". It matches the Rfam family "Bacterial small subunit ribosomal RNA", at positions 28 to 520 of the family's 1533-position model. The record is from RNAcentral.